UUUGGGAUGCACUACCAUGGCAUAUACAACUGCAGUGCUCCCUGGUGGAGUUUGGUGGAAGGACACGAGGGAAAUGGAUGAAUUUCUGUAUGUGAAGGAUACCUCUUCACUUUGAGAGAUGCCUUUUGGAGAAAUCUGUCUGAGCAGUGUCAGUCACCAAUGUGUACCCAACAAAGAAACGUCUUGGAGCGCAAGGAACCUUGAAAUGAGUGGAUCAUUGAAGUAGUCUUCACUUCAGCCUUUACAAAUGCACCGUGUUGCUUUGAUGAAGGUAUUUCUU
Empidonax traillii (willow flycatcher) is the source of this 280-nucleotide long non-coding RNA. RefSeq lists it as uncharacterized. The record is from RefSeq and is a predicted model, not a curated record. Lineage: Eukaryota; Metazoa; Chordata; Aves; Passeriformes; Tyrannidae. The transcript is spliced from 3 exons.